AUCGCCUCCUGAACCUACAAACAUAGGAGGUCCCGCCUGCCCUGUGAUCUAGAAUUUAACGGCCGCGGUAUUUUGACCGUGCAAAGGUAGCGCAAUCACUUGUCUUUUAAAUGAAGACCUGUAUGAAUGGCAUAACGAGGGCUUGACUGUCUCCCUUUCUUAGUCAGUGAAAUUGAUCCUUCCGUGCAGAAGCGGGAAUAUUAACAUAAGACGAGAAGACCCUGUGGAGCUUUAGACAACAAAUGGUCCUUAUACAUAACCCCUAAUCAACUGGCUAAAACUAAAGAACCCCCAUUUUUGUCUUCGGUUGGGGCGACCGCGGGGAAAUAAAAAACCCCCAUGUGGAACAUCAUUACCUGUUUUUAAAUAAAGAGUAGCAACUCAAAAUAACAGAACAUCUGACCUAAUAUGAUCCGGCUUACUGCCGAUUAACGAAACCAGUUACCCCAGGGAUAACAGCGCAAUCCUCUCCCAGAGUCCAUAUCGACAAGAGGGUUUACGACCUCGAUGUUGGAUCAGGACAUCCUAAUGGUGCAGCCGCUAUUAAGGGUUCGUUUGUUCAACGAUUAAAGUCCUACGUGAC
This 583-nucleotide ribosomal RNA is filed under the name Atrosalarias holomelas (brown coral blenny). RNAcentral's name for it is "partial 16S ribosomal RNA". It matches the Rfam family "Bacterial large subunit ribosomal RNA", at positions 1815 to 2604 of the family's 2925-position model. The record is from RNAcentral. Lineage: Eukaryota; Metazoa; Chordata; Actinopteri; Blenniiformes; Blenniidae.